AGAGUUUGAUCCUGGCUCAGGAUGAACGCUAGCGGUGCGCCUAACACAUGCAAGUCGAGUGCCGCUAAAAGCACGGCGAACGGGUGAGUAACACGUUGGCAACCUGCCCUAAAGUGAGGGAUAACCCGCCGAAAGGCGGACUAAUACCGCAUAAAAAUGGGGGGACGAAAGUCAUUCCCAUUUAAAGUCGCAAGACGCUUAAGGAGGGGCCUGCGGAGUAUCAGCUAGUUGGUAGGGUAACGGCCUACCAAGGCUAUGACGCUUAGUUGGUCUGAGAGGACGACCAACCACAAUGGAACUGAGAUACGGUCCAUACUCCUACGGGAGGCAGCAGUGAGGAAUCUUCCGCAAUGGGCGAAAGCCUGACGGAGCGACACCGCGUGAAGGAUGAAGGCCUUUUGGUUGUAAACUUCUUUUCUGAGGGAAUAAAUGAUGAAGUUACCUCAGGAAUAAGCACCGGCCAACUACGUGCCAGCAGCCGCGGUAAUACGUAGGGUGCAAGCGUUAUCCGGAAUUAUUGGGCGUAAAGCGUUCGUAGGUGGUUAAGCAAGUUUGCGGUUAAAUCCGGUCGCUCAACGAUCGACAUGUCGCAAAAACUGCUUGACUUGAGAUUGACAGAGGUCACUGGAAUUCCACAUGUAGGGGUAAAAUCCGUUGAUAUGUGGAGGAACACCAAAAGCGAAGGCAGGUGACUGGGUCAUUUCUGACACUUAGGAACGAAAGCGUGGGGAGCAAACAGGAUUAGAUACCCUGGUAGUCC
This 760-nucleotide ribosomal RNA is filed under the name uncultured bacterium. RNAcentral describes it as "bacterial SSU rRNA". It matches the Rfam family "Bacterial small subunit ribosomal RNA", at positions 8 to 796 of the family's 1533-position model. The record is from RNAcentral.